RNAcentral lists this ribosomal RNA (1338 nucleotides) under Triticum aestivum (bread wheat). RNAcentral's name for it is "partial small subunit ribosomal RNA". Lineage: Eukaryota; Viridiplantae; Streptophyta; Magnoliopsida; Poales; Poaceae. The record is from RNAcentral.
AUGGAGAUCAUUACGAGCAGCACGAUGCUGAAGCCGGUCUACUCCGCGCCGCACCCGCUCCUCGGCGAGAAGGUCCAGCUGACCGUCUUCGACCGCGCCGCCUUGGACGUCUUCGUCCCUGUCGUCGUGGCCUACCCCGCGCCAACGCCUUCCAACGAGGCCAUCAAGGAGGGCCUCCUCAGGGCCGUCGCGCCGUACCCACACCUGGCGGGACGCCUCGCCGCCGACCACCGCGGCAGGCGCUUCCUCCACGUCAACAACGAGGGUGUGCUUGUUGUAGAGGCCACUGUCUCGUCCAACCUGGCGGACUUACUCGCCUACGGCGGCAUGGCCACCGACGUCCACGGCCAGUACCAUACACUACCAGAGGAGAACGUUGGGGAGGCGCUGCUGCAGAUCAAGCUGAACCGGUGCAAGUGCGGCGGCCUCGUGGUCGGUGUAUCAUACCACCACCAAACCGCCGACGGUGUGGCCAUGAACAACUUCUUCAUCACGUGGGAGACCGCUGUACGCCAAGGCAAGGACUUCGUCGCGCCGACCCCUUUCCUUGACCGCGCCACCACCGCCGUGUCUCGACGCAUGCCGGCGCCGGUGUUCGACCACCGGUCCAUUGAGUUCAAGAGUGGAGAAAGCAGGGGCUGCACCAGGGAACGCGGCGACAUCGUCUCCAUGGCGAAGAUCAAGGACGUCAGGGUGCAUUUGACGGCCGAGUUCCUCGCCGAGCUCAGAGCGCGCGUCGGCGGCCGUUGCAGCAUGUUCCAGUGCCUGCUCGCGCACGUGUGGAAGAAGAUCACGGCGGCGCGGGGCCUGAAACCGGAGGAGUUCACACAGGUGAAGGUGGCCGUGAACUGCCGGGGCAGGGCCAAGCCUCCCGCGCCCAUGGACUUCUUCGGGAACAUGGUGCUCUGGGCGUUCCCGAGGCUUCAGGUCCGCGACGUCCUGAACUGGAGCUACGGCGCCGUUGUCGGCGCAAUCCGCGAUGCCGUGGCACGUAUCGACGGCGAGUACAUCCAGUCGUUCGUGGACUUCGGCACACUGGCGGACGCGAACGGUGAGGAGCUCGUGGCGACAGCGGCUGCUGGCACUACGCUAUGCCCGGACGCAGAAGUGGACACCUGGCUGGGGUUCAGGUACCAUCAGCUAGAUUUUGGCACCGGGCCGCCAUGCGCGUUCCAGCCGCCGGACUUGCCGAUUGAGGGGCUUAUGGUCUUCGUGCCGUCGUGCACGGCGGGGGGCGGCGUCGACCUCUUCAUGGCUGUCGCGGAGGAUCAUGUCGAGUCAUUUGAGAAGAUUUGCUACUCCUUGGACGACGAUCUUCUCACAUCAUCAAGGAUGUAA